This 796-nucleotide ribosomal RNA is filed under the name uncultured Bacillota bacterium. RNAcentral describes it as "bacterial SSU rRNA". It matches the Rfam family "Bacterial small subunit ribosomal RNA", at positions 1 to 798 of the family's 1533-position model. The record is from RNAcentral. Lineage: Bacteria; Bacillati; Bacillota.
AGGAGAGUUUGAUCCUGGCUCAGGACGAACGCUGGCGGCGCGCCUAACACAUGCAAGUCGAACGGAGCUUUUCUUGACAGCGACUUCGGUCAACGGAGGGGAAAGCUUAGUGGCGAACGGGUGAGUAACGCGUGAGUAACCUGCCUCGUAGAGGGGGACAACAGUUGGAAACGACUGCUAAUACCGCAUAAGCCCACACUGCCGCAUGGCAGAGUGAGAAAAGGAGAAAUCCGCUAUGAGAUGGACUCGCGUCUGAUUAGCCAGUUGGCGGGGUAACGGCCCACCAAAGCGACGAUCAGUAGCCGGACUGAGAGGUUGAUCGGCCACAUUGGGACUGAGACACGGCCCAGACUCCUACGGGAGGCAGCAGUGGGGAAUAUUGCACAAUGGGGGGAACCCUGAUGCAGCGACGCCGCGUGGAGGAAGAAGGUAUUCGUAUUGUAAACUCCUGUCGUGUGGGACGAAGAAUGACGGUACCACACAAGAAAGCACCGGCUAACUACGUGCCAGCAGCCGCGGUAAAACGUAGGGUGCGAGCGUUGUCCGGAAUUACUGGGUGUAAAGGGAGCGCAGGCGGUCAUUUAAGUUGGGUGUCAAAACUACGGGCUCAACCCGUACUCGCACUCAAAACUGAGUGACUUGAGUGAAGUAGAGGUAGGCGGAAUUUCCGGUGUAGCGGUGGAAUGCGUAGAUAUCGGAAGGAACACCAGUGGCGAAGGCGGCCUACUGGGCUUUAACUGACGCUGAGGCUCGAAAGCAUGGGUAGCAAACAGGAUUAAAAACCCUGGUAGUCCCU